Molecule: transfer RNA, 69 nt
Filed under: Mus musculus (house mouse)
Lineage: Eukaryota; Metazoa; Chordata; Mammalia; Rodentia; Muridae
Description: tRNA-Ala
Source: RNAcentral
GCCAUAGCUUAGUGGGAAGAGGGCUUGCCUAGCAUACAGGAAGCUCUGGGUUCUAUCCCCAGUGCUGCA